Molecule: non-coding RNA, 1529 nt
Organism: Paramuricea clavata
Lineage: Eukaryota; Metazoa; Cnidaria; Anthozoa; Malacalcyonacea; Plexauridae
Source: the annotation of a GenBank genome assembly
CUCAGUAAACUUUUAACAUUGCUGUAAUGUAGACGUUUAAUCAUUGAUCGUCAAGCUAAAUCAAAUUUAAGAAAUUUUACUGUUGCUGUAAAUACCGUUUUAACGUUAAAAAUUCUCCAACCUUGAAGUUUUUUUAAAUAUGGCAUUGAGAUAACAUUUGUAACUCCCCCCGGAAAGUUUACUCUAUGUAUCUCUCGCUUGAAUUUCGCCACUCAUCACAAUAGUGCAACGUUUCCAUGGAAACAUUGCACUAAAAAAUGACAUAAAAUAUGACAUAAAAUAUCCCACAUUUGUGGCUUGCAGAUUAUCACAACACGUGUCUAAAAUGCAUGAAGUAGGAUUUCCCAGACCCUAAACAUAGAAAUAUUUUCCGGGGUCCAUGCUUCAGGUAGGCCGAAGAAUUAGACCCUCGAUGAGACCACUCAUUCAGGGGCUGGAUACGCCCUUCAUGGCACUAUUAAGAUGGAUGCACUUAUACCUUUGCAUUCCUGAGAUUACACCUACAAUACAACACAGGUAAAAUUAUUUCUAUUGAUUAGAAUUUUUCCUUUUAUUUUUUUCCAAAUUUUACAAUUAUCUUUUUUUCCUUUCUUGGGGAAUAUUUUAUGGCAACUAAAAUCGUUUCUGGAACCAAUGGUUCCGUGGUCCACCUGUGGGCCUUACCAUCUUAAAUAUCAAUUAUUCGAUAUAUAUCUGGGUAACAACUGGGAAAUGAAGCCAUGCAUUUACCUACAUUUAAAAGUUUUCUGGCAGCGGUGCUGCUGCCGGACAUUUGCCAACACUGUUUUUUAACCUCUUCCAGUUUAUGUUUUCAUCACCAUAUAUAUUAGAGACCUUAAGAUGUAGGACGGCAAAGCGACGACGGCGACCAAAACAAAUUCACCCAAAUAAAUUAUUGUAAAGAAAUCUUAUCGUACAUUAUCAAUCGUAUGAAUUCGCGCGCUUUUCUUAACUCUCGCAACAUUCCCGCGUGUUUGGAUCAGGCCAUCCAAACACGGAAACCAUAAAGUAAUUGUAUAGUAACAAUGGAUAUAAUAUUCAAGAAGAUUGUUGAAUGAUAUAACAGCUCAAAAAACACUUUCUGUAUAUUUUCUAGCCUGAGUAUCAGACUUACUUUACAAAACAAAGUCUGACAAAUCUUAAUUAGAAAAAUAAAGUUUAUAUUUAGGGACGGGCCAUUACAAAUGUGAGGGAGGAGGGGGAAAGAAAGAAAGCAAAGCAAAAUAUACCUUAAUUAAAAUUCCUGACCGCAGAAAAAAUUGUCCGAUGGUCCGCCUCUUAGUAUCCAACAUCUCAAAAUGACAUAUUAAAUUUCCUAGUUAGGCCAUCUUUCACUUCCCUCCACUCCCAACUAAGGAAGGGAAAAUGGCAUGAAACCCAGGCUAUAUAUUUUCAGGUUAGUAUAUCCUUCACCCAACUUUUUGAAUAUUAAAUAAUUAUCCAUUAUAUGCAACAUCAAUCAGGUUCAAACCCUUUUAUGGUGGGUAAACGAGCCCUCAUGUCUUCCAGAUUACGCAACUUUUGUUGAG